UACGUAGGGGGCAAGCGUUGUCCGGAUUUAUUGGGCGUAAAGCGCUCGCAGGUGGUCCGUCGCGUCGUGCGUGAAAGCCCCCGGCUCAACUGGGGAGUGUCGUGCGAUACGGGCGGACUGGAGGCCAGUAGGGGGAUGCGGAAUUCCGGGUGUAGUGGUGGAAUGCGUAGAGAUCCAGAGGAACACCAGCGGCGAAGGCGGCAUCCUGGACUGGUCCUGACACUCAUGAGCGAAAGCGUGGGGAGCGAUCCGG
This 253-nucleotide ribosomal RNA is filed under the name uncultured bacterium. RNAcentral describes it as "partial 16S ribosomal RNA". It matches the Rfam family "Bacterial small subunit ribosomal RNA", at positions 524 to 776 of the family's 1533-position model. The record is from RNAcentral.